RNAcentral lists this ribosomal RNA (253 nucleotides) under uncultured bacterium. Its description in RNAcentral is "partial 16S ribosomal RNA". It matches the Rfam family "Bacterial small subunit ribosomal RNA", at positions 524 to 776 of the family's 1533-position model. The record is from RNAcentral.
UACGAAGGGGGCUAGCGUUGUUCGGAAUUACUGGGCGUAAAGCGCACGUAGGCGGACUAUUAAGUCAGGGGUGAAAUCCCGGGGCUCAACCCCGGAACUGCCUUUGAUACUGGUGGUCUAGAGUCCGGAAGAGGUGAGUGGAAUUCCGAGUGUAGAGGUGAAAUUCGUAGAUAUUCGGAGGAACACCAGUGGCGAAGGCGGCUCACUGGUCCGGUACUGACGCUGAGGUGCGAAAGCGUGGGGAGCAAACAGG